This 2107-nucleotide long non-coding RNA is filed under the name Homo sapiens (human). RNAcentral describes it as "non-protein coding lnc-KBTBD13-5:3". Lineage: Eukaryota; Metazoa; Chordata; Mammalia; Primates; Hominidae. The record is from RNAcentral.
AGACCCCGAUCACCCGCAGCUACGAGAGUUGCCGCCGCCAGUGUGUGCCGGGCGACGUCGCCCACGCCCCUGCCAGCCAUCCUCACAGCAGCAGCAGCCCUGGUAGAAAUUGAUCCUCCAGAAUUCUCUGAAUUGCUUAAGUCUCUGGCCUCAAAUGCCCCAAGAUCCUCCUUGGGAGACCUCUCUGACAGGGAGCUUGGGGGAGAGCAGAGGGGCAUUGACUUAACUCUGCUGGAGGGAUCUUCUGAGGAAGAAACUUCUCCUUCUGCAUCCAGGCUGUGCUGGGCCCUGGACUCAGAGGAGAGGUGGUCCCAUGCCAUUGGAUUGCAUCUAUGACUUCGGGAGGUAGGGCGAAGACUGGUCCCCCAGACACCACAGAGCUUCCCAUCUUCUUUUGCCAGAUCACGGGGUCAUAAGAAUCUUUAAUGCUUAUUACACCCAGUACUCUAUGGAAGGGAUCGUCAACACUAUGGGAGAGGACCUCAACCAAGAGAACAUCAUGAACGUCUGGAAGGAUUACACCAUUGAAGAUGUUGUAGAAAAACAUGUGAAGGCCAUCAAACCUGAAACAAUAAAUUCAUGCUGGAGAAAAAUUGUGUGCAGAUGUUGUGCAUGACUUCACGAGAUUUAUGACAGAGACUGUCAAGGAAAUCAAGAAAGAGAUUGUGGAUAUGCAAAAGAGAUGUGUGUGGGGUGAAGGGUUCAAGAUAUGAAUCUUGGAGAAAUCCAAGGGCUACUAGAUGUCACACUAGAGGAACGAAUAGAUGACUUGGUGGAGAUGAGUGCCUUCGAACCAGUGCAAGACGAUGAAGAUGAUGUAGAAGACGCAGUGCCGGAGAACAACUGACAUUAGACAAUCUGGCGGAAGUGUUCCUAGUAUUCAAGACUGCUUUUACAACGUGGACCCUUCUAUGACAUGGGCACUGAAACUAAAGCGAGUAUGCCUGCCUCCCUUCUACCUCCACCUCUUCCUCCUCUGCCACUCCUCAGACAGUAAAACCAACCUCUCCUCCCUGUCCUCAACAUACCCAACGUGAAGACAAUGAGGAAGACUUUUACGAUGACCCACUUCCACUUAAUGAAUAGCACUUCACCAAAGAAGAUACAUGGAUGACAAUUAAGCACUUGGGAAGAUGCUCAACAUCAUUAGUCAUGAGGAAAAUGCAAAUUAAACCAGAGAUACCACUACACACCCCACCCGUGGAAGUGGUUUAAAUUUAAAAAAUAAAACGAACAAUUCUACAUGUUGGAGAGGAUAUGGAGUAACUGAAACUCUUAUACAUUGAUGGUGGGAAUAUAAACUGGUAACUACUCUGUAAAAACAGUUUUUAUAAACAUCCACCUACCAUAAGACCUAGCAAUACCCACUUCUAGGUGUUUAGAGAAGUGAAAACUCUUGCUCAGACAAAAAUCUGUACAAAAAUGUUUACAGCAGCUCUGUUAGCAAUCACUAAAAACUGGACAUGACAGGUGGAUGGGUAAAUAAAUCAUGGUACAGCCAUACAGGAACAGAGAGGAAUGCAACAUGAGUGAAUCUCAAGGCAUCAUGCUGAGCACAAGAAGCCAGUUCAAAGGGUAUGUGCUGAAUGUUUCAUUUAAAUGUCGGAAAUGGCAAAAGUAUUGUUGGAGGACAGGUCAGUGUUUGUAAAGGAUUACAAGUAGAGGAAGGUGUGACCACAAAGAGCAGCAUGAGGAAAUUUUGGAGUGAUGAAACUAUUGUGUAUCUUGAUUGUGGUAGUGAUUAUGCAAAUCUAUGUACAUGUUUAAAAAGUCAUAGAUGCACUCAGUAUGCAAUGAGGAUAAAAUAAAAAAUAAUAAUUUAAAAUCAUAGAUCUGGCCAGGUGUGGUGGAUCACACCUGUAAAAAAAAUACAAGUAGCAGCAGGACAUGGUGGCUUGCACCUGGAAUCUCAGCUACUUGGGAGGCUGAGACCUGGGCAACAGAGACCCUCUUAUGGUGGCUCACGCCUGUAAUCUCAGCACUUUGGAGGAUGAGGUUGUGGGAUUGCUUAAGACCAGGAUUUCGAGACCAGCCUGGGCAACAUAGGAAACCUGGUCUCUAAAAACAAAACAAGCAGUGGCUCAAGCCCGUAAUCCUAGCACUUUGG